RNAcentral lists this ribosomal RNA (495 nucleotides) under uncultured bacterium. Its description in RNAcentral is "partial 16S ribosomal RNA". It matches the Rfam family "Bacterial small subunit ribosomal RNA", at positions 28 to 507 of the family's 1533-position model. The record is from RNAcentral.
GACGAACGCUGGCGGCGUGCCUAAUACAUGCAAGUAGAACGCUGAAGGAGGAGCUUGCUCUUCUGGAUGAGUUGCGAACGGGUGAGUAACGCGUAGGUAACCUGCCUGGUAGCGGGGGAUAACUAUUGGAAACGAUAGCUAAUACCGCAUAAGAGUAGAUGUUGCAUGACAUUUGCUUAAAAGGUGCAAUUGCAUCACUACCAGAUGGACCUGCGUUGUAUUAGCUAGUUGGUGGGGUAACGGCUCACCAAGGCGACGAUACAUAGCCGACCUGAGAGGGUGAUCGGCCACACUGGGACUGAGACACGGCCCAGACUCCUACGGGAGGCAGCAGUAGGGAAUCUUCGGCAAUGGACGGAAGUCUGACCGAGCAACGCCGCGUGAGUGAAGAAGGUUUUCGGAUCGUAAAGCUCUGUUGUAAGAGAAGAACGAGUGUGAGAGUGGAAAGUUCACACUGCGACGGUAUCUUACCAGAAAGGGACGGCUAACUACGUG